AGCCAAAAAUCCACGAGAACGUUUCAGGCCAGUGGGGAAAAUCAGCUGAAUACAGGCCGGAAUACGGGCCUGUAUGCAGAUGUAAUCGCCCACGUCCUGCUUACAUCCUGGAACCACAGGCCCGUUACAGCAUGUACAUCCUGUCCUGAAUACAGCCCGUAAAUAACGGACCUGUUUCAGCCUGUACCACCCACGUCCUGCUUACAGCCUGUGCAGCUAGUGUAUGCGCAUGCGCAGAGAGAAAGUUGCUUAGCUACCAAAUCCACCAAGAGACUGAAAAGGUGCUUCAGUUUGAUCUUCUCCUUCAGUUGCAGCUUUAAAGGAUGGAUGGAGUAAUUAUAUUAUUUAUGGAGCUGACUGCCAAGGCCAGCUAGCAAGAAAAAGAGAGAGAGAGGAACUGCUAGAUGUCUCUGUAAUUCUUCUCUCACUGUCUCUAGGAGUCCAGCUCUAUAGGCUACAAGAUCUGGUUGACUCUGACGCAGGUUGUUGACUUCUAAUACAAUGUUAUAAGAAUACACAUCUAAAAAGAAGAAUAUGCACCUCUACAACGGCUACUAAAUAGGUGAGUACGAGGUAUAUAAAAUGCGUAUACCUAUGAUAUUAUCUACAGUUGUCUGUGUCAUCAUUACUUUACGAGCUCAAGAUUCAGGUUCUAUUAUUGACUCCCUUACUCGAACUCGUUUACGUACGUAUGCACACACAUAUGUACCUGUGUCUAUGUCAUCAUUACUGUACUGAUUGAGCUCGAGAUUGAGGUUCCUAUUCACACUACUUGAGAAUAUGUACAUAUAUAAAUUGGAAUGCUCAUGCCAUCAAUGAUUUCAACCCAUCAUGACCAGAAGCAUCGUGGACACACCUAUAUCGUGGACACACCUAUAUCGUGGACACACCUAUAUCGUGGACACACCUAUACUUUAGAAUUUGGCAGUUAAGUUACUGGCUCUGGACAUGGCUGGUCUGUGACAGUACAAACAGUCGAACAAAAAAGGUAUAAAUGUGACAGAGGACAUGGCUGGUCUGUGGACAGUACGAACAGUCGAACAACACAUUAUAAUGUGACACACUCGAGCAGCACAAGCACUAGAAGAAACAUUCUUAUUAGUGUUGUAAACUGUCGAACUGUCUGGCUAUGUUUGUUUCUUAAAAAUGUUAACACUUUGUGGAAUUAUUCAUGCCAAACUCA
Halichondria panicea is the source of this 1183-nucleotide long non-coding RNA. RefSeq lists it as uncharacterized. The record is from RefSeq and is a predicted model, not a curated record. The transcript has 9 exons. NCBI's taxonomy places the organism in Eukaryota, Metazoa, Porifera, Demospongiae, Suberitida, Halichondriidae.